UUUAAGUCAGCGGUGAAAGUCUGUGGCUCAACCAUAGAAUUGCCGUUGAAACUGGAGGGCUUGAGUAUGUUUGAGGCAGGCGGAAUGCGUGGUGUAGCGGUGAAAUGCUUAGAUAUCACGCAGAACCCCGAUCGCGAAGGCAGCCUGCCAAGCCAUGACUGACGCUGAUGCACGAAAGCGUGGGGAUCAAACAGGAUUAGAUACCCUGGUAGUCCACGCAGUAAACGAUGAUCACUAGCUGUUUGCGAUACACGGUAAGCGGCACAGCGAAAGCGUUAAGUGAUCCACCUGGGGAGUACGCCGGCAACGGUGAAACUCAAAGGAAUUGACGGGGGCCCGCACAAGCGGAGGAACAUGUGGUUUAAUUCGAUGAUACGCGAGGAACCUUACCCGGGUUUGAACGCAUUUCGACCGCUCUGGAAACAGAGCCUCUAGCAAUAGCGAUUUGCGAGGUGCUGCAUGGUUGUCGUCAGCUCGUGCCGUGAGGUGUCGGCUUAAGUGCCAUAACGAGCGCAACCCUUGCCACUAGUUACUAACAGGUUAGGCUGAGGACUCUGGUGGGACUGCCAGCGUAAGCUGCGAGGAAGGCGGGGAUGACGUCAAAUCAGCACGGCCCUUACAUCCGGGGCGACACACGUGUUACAAUGGCGUGGACAAAGGGAAGCCACCUGGCGACAGGGAGCGAAUCCCCAAACCACGUCUCAGUUCGGAUCGGAGUCUGCAACCCGACUCCGUGAAGCUGGAUUCGCUAGUAAUCGCGCAUCAGCCAUGGCGCGGUGAAUACGUUCCCGGGCCUUGUACACACCGCCCGUCAAGCCAUGGGAGCCGGGGGUACCUGAAGUCCGUAACCGCGAGGAUCGGCCUAGGGUAAAACUGGUGACUGGGGCUAAG
Molecule: ribosomal RNA, 891 nt
Filed under: uncultured organism
Description: SSU rRNA
Rfam family: Bacterial small subunit ribosomal RNA
Source: RNAcentral